UAGUCGAGGGGAAACGACAUCGAAAGCUUGCUUUUGAUGGGCGUCGACCGGCGCACGGGUGAGUAACGCGUAUCCAACCUGCCCACCACUUGGGGAUAACCUUGCGAAAGUAAGACUAAUACCCAAUGAUAUCUCUAGAAGACAUCUGAAAGAGAUUAAAGAUUUAUCGGUGAUGGAUGGGGAUGCGUCUGAUUAGCUUGUUGGCGGGGUAACGGCCCACCAAGGCUACUAUCAGUAGGGGUUCUGAGAGGAAGGUCCCCCACAUUGGAACUGAGACACGGUCCAAACUCCUACGGGAGGCAGCAGUGAGGAAUAUUGGUCAAUGGACGAGAGUCUGAACCAGCCAAGUAGCGUGCAGGAUGACGGCCCUAUGGGUUGUAAACUGCUUUUAUAAGGGAAUAAAGUGAGUCUCGUGAGACUUUUUGCAUGUACCUUAUGAAUAAGGACCGGCUAAUUCCGUGCCAGCAGCCGCGGUAAUACGGAAGGUCCGGGCGUUAUCCGGAUUUAUUGGGUUUAAAGGGAGCGUAGGCCGGAGAUUAAGCGUGUUGUGAAAUGUAGACGCUCAACGUCUGCACUGCAGCGCGAACUGGUUUCCUUGAGUACGCACAAAGUGGGCGGAAUUCGUGGUGUAGCGGUGAAAUGCUUAGAUAUCACGAAGAACUCCGAUUGCGAAGGCAGCUCACUGGAGCGCAACUGACGCUGAAGCUCGAAAGUGCGGGUAUCGAACAGGAUUAGAUACCCUGGUAGUCCGCACGGUAAACGAUGGAUGCCCGCUGUUGGUCUGAAUAGGUCAGCGGCCAAGCGAAAGCAUUAAGCAUCCCACCUGGGGAGUACGCCGGCAACGGUGCAACUCAAAUGAAUUGACGGA
RNAcentral lists this ribosomal RNA (868 nucleotides) under uncultured bacterium. RNAcentral's name for it is "bacterial SSU rRNA". It matches the Rfam family "Bacterial small subunit ribosomal RNA", at positions 59 to 917 of the family's 1533-position model. RNAcentral also lists the same sequence under 1 other name. The record is from RNAcentral.